RNAcentral lists this transfer RNA (64 nucleotides) under Echeneibothrium multiloculatum. RNAcentral's name for it is "tRNA-Asn". The record is from RNAcentral. Lineage: Eukaryota; Metazoa; Platyhelminthes; Cestoda; Rhinebothriidea; Echeneibothriidae.
GUCUAUAUAGAUUAUUUAAAUCGUGAUGCUGUUAACUUCAAAAAGGGAUAAGUCUCUAUAGUCG